Molecule: ribosomal RNA, 2201 nt
Filed under: Salmonella enterica subsp. enterica serovar Dublin
Lineage: Bacteria; Pseudomonadati; Pseudomonadota; Gammaproteobacteria; Enterobacterales; Enterobacteriaceae
Description: partial 23S ribosomal RNA
Rfam family: Bacterial large subunit ribosomal RNA
Source: RNAcentral
AGACCCGAAACCCGGUGAUCUAGCCAUGGGCAGGUUGAAGGUUGGGUAACACUAACUGGAGGACCGAACCGACUAAUGUUGAAAAAUUAGCGGAUGACCUGUGGCUGGGGGUGAAAGGCCAAUCAAACCGGGAGAUAGCUGGUUCUCCCCGAAAGCUAUUUAGGUAGCGCCUCGUGAAUUCAUCUCCGGGGGUAGAGCACUGUUUCGGCUAGGGGGCCAUCCCGGCUUACCAACCCGAUGCAAACUGCGAAUACCGGAGAAUGUUAUCACGGGAGACACACGGCGGGUGCUAACGUCCGUCGUGAAGAGGGAAACAACCCAGACCGCCAGCUAAGGUCCCAAAGUCAUGGUUAAGUGGGAAACGAUGUGGGAAGGCCCAGACAGCCAGGAUGUUGGCUUAGAAGCAGCCAUCAUUUAAAGAAAGCGUAAUAGCUCACUGGUCGAGUCGGCCUGCGCGGAAGAUGUAACGGGGCUAAACCAUGCACCGAAGCUGCGGCAGCGACGCUUAUGCGUUGUUGGGUAGGGGAGCGUUCUGUAAGCCUGUGAAGGUGUGUCGUGAGGCAUGCUGGAGGUAUCAGAAGUGCGAAUGCUGACAUAAGUAACGAUAAAGCGGGUGAAAAGCCCGCUCGCCGGAAGACCAAGGGUUCCUGUCCAACGUUAAUCGGGGCAGGGUGAGUCGACCCCUAAGGCGAGGCCGAAAGGCGUAGUCGAUGGGAAACGGGUUAAUAUUCCCGUACUUGGUGUUACUGCGAAGGGGGGACGGAGAAGGCUAUGUUGGCCGGGCGACGGUUGUCCCGGUUUAAGCGUGUAGGUGUGUGUUCCAGGUAAAUCCGGUUCACUUUAACACUGAGGCGUGAUGACGAGGCACUACGGUGCUGAAGUAACAAAUGCCCUGCUUCCAGGAAAAGCCUCUAAGCAUCAGGUAACAUCAAAUCGUACCCCAAACCGACACAGGUGGUCAGGUAGAGAAUACCAAGGCGCUUGAGAGAACUCGGGUGAAGGAACUAGGCAAAAUGGUGCCGUAACUUCGGGAGAAGGCACGCUGACACGUAGGUGAAGUGAUUUACUCAUGGAGCUGAAGUCAGUCGAAGAUACCAGCUGGCUGCAACUGUUUAUUAAAAACACAGCACUGUGCAAACACGAAAGUGGACGUAUACGGUGUGACGCCUGCCCGGUGCCGGAAGGUUAAUUGAUGGGGUCAGCGCAAGCGAAGCUCCUGAUCGAAGCCCCGGUAAACGGCGGCCGUAACUAUAACGGUCCUAAGGUAGCGAAAUUCCUUGUCGGGUAAGUUCCGACCUGCACGAAUGGCGUAAUGAUGGCCAGGCUGUCUCCACCCGAGACUCAGUGAAAUUGAACUCGCUGUGAAGAUGCAGUGUACCCGCGGCAAGACGGAAAGACCCCGUGAACCUUUACUAUAGCUUGACACUGAACAUUGAGCCUUGAUGUGUAGGAUAGGUGGGAGGCUUUGAAGUGUGGACGCCAGUCUGCAUGGAGCCGACCUUGAAAUACCACCCUUUAAUGUUUGAUGUUCUAACGUGGACCCGUUACCCGGGUUGCGGACAGUGUCUGGUGGGUAGUUUGACUGGGGCGGUCUCCUCCUAAAGAGUAACGGAGGAGCACGAAGGUUGGCUAAUCCUGGUCGGACAUCAGGAGGUUAGUGCAAUGGCAUAAGCCAGCUUGACUGCGAGCGUGACGGCGCGAGCAGGUGCGAAAGCAGGUCAUAGUGAUCCGGUGGUUCUGAAUGGAAGGGCCAUCGCUCAACGGAUAAAAGGUACUCCGGGGAUAACAGGCUGAUACCGCCCAAGAGUUCAUAUCGACGGCGGUGUUUGGCACCUCGAUGUCGGCUCAUCACAUCCUGGGGCUGAAGUAGGUCCCAAGGGUAUGGCUGUUCGCCAUUUAAAGUGGUACGCGAGCUGGGUUUAGAACGUCGUGAGACAGUUCGGUCCCUAUCUGCCGUGGGCGCUGGAGAACUGAGGGGGGCUGCUCCUAGUACGAGAGGACCGGAGUGGACGCAUCACUGGUGUUCGGGUUGUCAUGCCAAUGGCACUGCCCGGUAGCUAAAUGCGGAAGAGAUAAGUGCUGAAAGCAUCUAAGCACGAAACUUGCCCCGAGAUGAGUUCUCCCUGAGACUUUAGGUCUCCUGAAGGAACGUUGAAGACGACGACGUUGAUAGGCCGGGUGUGUAAGCGCAGCGAUGCGUU